GCACUAUAGAAGAGUCCAAAAAUAGGACGAAACAGCUGUCCAGUAC
This is a non-coding RNA of Trichobilharzia regenti, 46 nucleotides long. The record is from Rfam. NCBI's taxonomy places the organism in Eukaryota, Metazoa, Platyhelminthes, Trematoda, Strigeidida, Schistosomatidae.